CAAAAACAUCGCCUCCCGCAAAAAUUCAAUGUAUAGGAGGUCCUGCCUGCCCAGUGACUGUAAGUUAAACGGCCGCGGUAUUUUGACCGUGCAAAGGUAGCGUAAUCACUUGUCUUUUAAAUGAAGACCUGUAUGAAUGGUGUAACGAGGGCUUAACUGUCUCCCCCCUCUAGUCAAUGAAAUUGAUCUACCCGUGCAGAAGCGGGUAUAAUAAUACAAGACGAGAAGACCCUCUGGAGCUUAAGAUAAAAGACCAACUAUGUCAAAAGUCCUAAAAAAGACUAAACCAAAUGGCACUGGUCCCAAUCUUCGGUUGGGGCGACCGCGGGAGAAAACAAAGCUCCCAUGCGGACUGGGGUAACCCCCUAAAACUAAGAGAGACAUCUCUAAGGCACAGAACAUCUGACCAAAAAGACCCGGCCACAUGCCGACCAACGGACCAAGUUACCCUAGGGAUAACAGCGCAAUCCCCUUCCAGAGUCCAUAUCGACAAGGGGGUUUACGACCUCGAUGUUGGAUCAGGACAUCCUAAUGGUGCAGCCGCUAUUAAGGGUUC
RNAcentral lists this ribosomal RNA (556 nucleotides) under Baryancistrus demantoides. Its description in RNAcentral is "partial 16S ribosomal RNA". It matches the Rfam family "Bacterial large subunit ribosomal RNA", at positions 1808 to 2574 of the family's 2925-position model. Lineage: Eukaryota; Metazoa; Chordata; Actinopteri; Siluriformes; Loricariidae. The record is from RNAcentral.